UGCCGGUCCCCCCGCGACGAUAAGUUGUGAACCCCGUCAGGCCCGGAAGGGAGCAGCGGCAGCAGCGGAUUCGGGCGCCGGGGUGUGGCUGGUGCGA
Molecule: signal recognition particle RNA, 97 nt
Filed under: Gammaproteobacteria bacterium
Lineage: Bacteria; Pseudomonadati; Pseudomonadota; Gammaproteobacteria
Description: signal recognition particle sRNA small type
Rfam family: Bacterial small signal recognition particle RNA
About the family: The signal recognition particle (SRP) is a universally conserved ribonucleoprotein involved in the co-translational targeting of proteins to membranes. Archaeal SRP consists of a 7S RNA and homologues of the eukaryotic SRP19 and SRP54 proteins. In most bacteria, the SRP consists of a 4.5S RNA and the Ffh protein (a homologue of the eukaryotic SRP54 protein).
Source: RNAcentral